UCCACGCCGUAAACGAUGUCAACUAGCCGUUUGUGUCCUUGAGACGUGAGUGGCGCAGCUAACGCACUAAGUUGACCGCCUGGGGAGUACGGCCGCAAGGUUAAAACUCAAAUGAAUUGACGGGGGCCCGCACAAGCGGUGGAGCAUGUGGUUUAAUUCGAUGCAACGCGAAGAACCCUUACCAUCCCUUGACAUCCAGAGAAGCGACUAGAGAUAGACGUGUGCCUUCGGGA
This 233-nucleotide ribosomal RNA is filed under the name uncultured bacterium. Its description in RNAcentral is "partial 16S ribosomal RNA". It matches the Rfam family "Bacterial small subunit ribosomal RNA", at positions 794 to 1025 of the family's 1533-position model. The record is from RNAcentral.